RNAcentral lists this ribosomal RNA (253 nucleotides) under uncultured bacterium. RNAcentral's name for it is "partial 16S ribosomal RNA". It matches the Rfam family "Bacterial small subunit ribosomal RNA", at positions 524 to 776 of the family's 1533-position model. The record is from RNAcentral.
UACGUAGGUGGCAAGCGUUGUCCGGAUUUAUUGGGUUUAAAGGGUGCGUAGGCGGCCUAUUAAGUCAGUGCCGAAAUAUCCCGGCUUAACCGGGAGGGUGGCAUUGAUACUGAUGGGCUUGAGUAGAGUUGAGGUUGGCGGAAUUGACGGUGUAGCGGUGAAAUGCUUAGAUAUCGUCAAGAACACCUAUUGCGAAGGCAGCUAACUAAGCUCAAACUGACGCUGAGGCACGAAAGUGUGGGGAUCAAACAGG